GACGAACGCUGGCGGCGUGCCUAAUACAUGCAAGUUGAGCGCUGAAGGUUGGUACUUGUACCGACUGGAUGAGCAGCGAACGGGUGAGUAACGCGUGGGGAAUCUGCCUUUGAGCGGGGGACAACAUUCGGAAACGAAUGCUAAUACCGCAUAAAAACUUUAAACACAAGUUUUAAGUUUGAAAGAUGCAAUUGCAUCACUCAAAGAUGAUCCCGCGUUGUAUUAGCUAGUUGGUGAGGUAAAGGCUCACCAAGGCGAUGAUACAUAGCCGACCUGAGAGGGUGAUCGGCCACAUUGGGACUGAGACACGGCCCAAACUCCUACGGGAGGCAGCAGUAGGGAAUCUUCGGCAAUGGACGAAAGUCUGACCGAGCAACGCCGCGUGAGUGAAGAAGGGUUUCGGAUCGUAAAACUCUGUUGGUAGAGAAGAACGUUGGUGAGAGUGGAAAGCUCAUCAAGUGACGGUAACUACCCAGAAAGGGACGGCUAACUACGUG
This 497-nucleotide ribosomal RNA is filed under the name uncultured bacterium. Its description in RNAcentral is "partial 16S ribosomal RNA". It matches the Rfam family "Bacterial small subunit ribosomal RNA", at positions 28 to 507 of the family's 1533-position model. The record is from RNAcentral.